This 448-nucleotide ribosomal RNA is filed under the name uncultured bacterium. RNAcentral's name for it is "partial 16S ribosomal RNA". It matches the Rfam family "Bacterial small subunit ribosomal RNA", at positions 338 to 795 of the family's 1533-position model. The record is from RNAcentral.
CCUACGGGUGGCUGCAGUGGGGAAUUUUGGACAAUGGGCGCAAGCCUGAUCCAGCCAUGCCGCGUGCAGGAUGAAGGCCUUCGGGUUGUAAACUGCUUUUGUACGGAACGAAAAGGUGCCUUCUAAUAAAGGGCGCUCAUGACGGUACCGUAAGAAUAAGCACCGGCUAACUACGUGCCAGCAGCCGCGGUAAUACGUAGGGUGCGAGCGGCGAUCGGAAUUAGCGGGCGUAAAGCGAAGACAGGCGGUUAAUCCCCGGGCUCAACCUGGGAACUGCCUUUGUGACUGCAAGGCUGGAGUGCGGCAGAGGGGGAUGGAAUUCCGCGUGUAGCAGUGAAAUGCGUAGAUAUGCGGAGGAACACCGAUGGCGAAGGCAAUCCCCUGGGCCUGCACUGACGCUCAUGCACGAAAGCGUGGGGAGCAAACAGGAUUAGAUACCCCAGUAGUC